This 128-nucleotide small nuclear RNA is filed under the name Zalophus californianus (California sea lion). RNAcentral's name for it is "U4 spliceosomal RNA (ENSZCAG00015009515.1)". It matches the Rfam family "U4 spliceosomal RNA". Rfam says of the family: U4 small nuclear RNA (U4 snRNA) is a component of the major U2-dependent spliceosome. The structure of U4 snRNA from yeast and human has been reported. U4 snRNA presents a k-turn RNA motif in the 5p-SL related to recognition of Snu13 protein. The record is from RNAcentral. Lineage: Eukaryota; Metazoa; Chordata; Mammalia; Carnivora; Otariidae.
AGCUUUGCGCAGUGGCAGUAUCGUAGCCAAUGAGGUUUAUCUGAGGCGCGAUUAUUGUUAAUUGAAAAAUAAAAUUUACUGAACUGUAUAUUGAGUGCUACAUUUUGAUUUUUUUCACAUAAUAUUAU